GGACCCGCACAAGCGGUGGAUGAUGUGGUUUAAUUCGAUGCAACGCGAAAAACCUUACCUACCCUUGACAUGUCUGGAAUCCUGAAGAGAUUUGGGAGUGCUCGAAAGAGAGCCAGAACACAGGUGCUGCAUGGCCGUCGUCAGCUCGUGUCGUGAGAUGUUGGGUUAAGUCCCGCAACGAGCGCAACCCUUGUCAUUAGUUGCUACGAAAGGGCACUCUAAUGAGACUGCCGGUGACAAACCGGAGGAAGGUGGGGAUGACGUCAGGUCCUCAUGGCCCUUAUGGGUAGGGCUACACACGUCAUACAAUGGCCGGUACAGAGGGCUGCCAACCCGCGAGGGGGAGCCAAUCCCAGAAAACCGGUCGUAGUCCGGAUCGCAGUCUGCAACUCGACUGCGUGAAGUCGGAAUCGCUAGUAAUCGCGGAUCAGCUUGCCGCGGUGAAUACGUUCCCGGGUCUU
This 461-nucleotide ribosomal RNA is filed under the name uncultured bacterium. RNAcentral's name for it is "bacterial SSU rRNA". It matches the Rfam family "Bacterial small subunit ribosomal RNA", at positions 917 to 1382 of the family's 1533-position model. The record is from RNAcentral.